RNAcentral lists this long non-coding RNA (867 nucleotides) under Salmo salar (Atlantic salmon). RNAcentral describes it as "lncRNA (ENSSSAG00000117902.1)". The record is from RNAcentral. Lineage: Eukaryota; Metazoa; Chordata; Actinopteri; Salmoniformes; Salmonidae.
CCCCCACAGUACUGGAGGGGUAUCUUCAAACCACCAACUUAAUACCCUGAGACAAGGCCGAAUAUAGCCCACGAAGAUCUCCCCAACGGCAGGAACCCGAGGGGGGCGCCAACCCGGACAGGAAGAUCACGUCAGUGACUCAACGCACUCAAGUGAAGCACCCCUCUUAGGGACAGCAUGGAAGAGCACCAGUAAGCCAGUGACUCAGCCCCCGUAACAGGGUUUGAGGCAGAGAAGGUACUGUAACAGGAGUAGUGUAGAGAGCAGAGAAGGUAAUGUAACAGGAGUAGUGUAGGGUUUAGUGAAGGUACUGUAACAGGAGUAGUGUAGGGUGUAGUGAAGGUACUGUAACAGGAGUAGUGUAGGGUGUAGUGAAGGUACUGUAACAGGAGUAGUGUAGGGUGUAGUGAAGGUACUGUAACAGGAGUAGUCUAGGGUGUAGUGAAGGUACUGUAACAGGAGUAGUGAAGGUACUGUGACAGGAGUAGUGUAGGGUGUAGUGAAGGUACUGUAACAGGAGUAGUGUAGGGUGUAGUGAAGGUACUGUAACAGGAGUAGUGUAGGGUGUAGUGAAGGUACUGUGACAGGAGAAGUGUAGGGUGUAGUGAAGGUACUGUAACAGGAGUAGUGUAGGGUGUAGUGAAGGUUCUGUAACAGGAGUAGUGUAGGGUGUAGUGAAGGUACUGUAACAGGAGUAGUGAAGGUACUGUGACAGGAGUAGUGUAGGGUGUAGUGAAGGUACUGUAACAGGAGUAGUGUAGGGUGUAGUGAAGGUACUGUGACAGGGGUAGUGUAGUGUGUAGUGAAGGUACUGUAACAGGAGUAGUGUAGGGUGUAGUGAAGGUACUGUAACAGGAGUAGUGUAGG